Molecule: long non-coding RNA, 3158 nt
Filed under: Solanum tuberosum (potato)
Lineage: Eukaryota; Viridiplantae; Streptophyta; Magnoliopsida; Solanales; Solanaceae
Description: long non-coding RNA (STUB_LNC010410)
Rfam family: tRNA (bases 573-666)
Source: RNAcentral
AGGGGAGUGAGAGUUUAUAAAGACAAACAGGCAGCAAGAACUUUAAAACGGAUACGUAGGCAUGAAAGUGCAGAAAGAAUGCCUAGAGAACAAGUAGUGGUGCAAAAGGAAAAACACGAGAGCAAAUAACUAGAAGGAUGCAAUGCACAAAGAUCAUGAUAAUAUGGGCUUCUAUGAAGCAGAAGUAGUUGAAGAAAUAAUGUACACUUAAGUCCAAAAUGUAGAUAAAGUCACCAAACAUCUUAUAAACAACUUUAAAUGUUUAUCCCUGAACUUCAUAUUUUUAAAAAUUGUAGAUGGAAGACGAAAUUCAUUCUUGGAACUCACAAACUAAGAUCACCUUAUAAUGUUAUCAAGACUCCAAGCAUUAGAAUAAGUUCCCCUUCUUUUACCUUUUAUUGAUGAGUAAAUAAAAAAAUGCUCAUGCUCAUGCAAUAGGCAUUCUUGAUAAAUGAUAACACUGAUGGACAAUAUUCAGCAGUGCUUUGAGAGGGAAUUCAUUCUUGGAACAAAACAAGAUAGACAUUCUUUAAUGUUUUCAAAACUAUAGCAUUGGAAAGAACCAACAACAACCGACCUUAGCUCAGUUGGUAGAGCGGAGGACUGUAGUGGGGUGUAAACCUUUCAGAUAUCCUUAGGUCGCUGGUUCGAAUCCGGCAGGUCGGAUUGAUUCUUUUUUCUUUCUAUUUUUUUAAAAAAGAAUUAUUUUAUUCUGGAGAAGAGGGCUUUGUCAUAUAAUAUAAUCCCACUCUGACAAGAGUGCAUGAACAUUAUUUAUUAUCAUUUCUUCAGCAAUAGCAACCUAUAUAAUUUUAUUGUUGUGUCAGUAGUGUAAGAUUCCCUGCCAUCUCCAAUUUUACAAUCCAGGCAGAAAACAAGCACUCAACUCUCACAAAUGUCUUGAAAUACCAAUCAUUUAUCGAAUUUCAAGAAUAUAUACAGACAUAUAAGAUUUGAUAAAGGGUGGUGGAGGGGAAGGAAAGAGUUAACAUACACAAACAGACAACAACUUGAAACCAAUACUAUGCAUGAAAAUGCACAAGGAAUACCUAGAGAUGAAGUAGUGGUGUAAAAGGAACAACACGAGUAUGGUGUAAAAGGAACAACAUGAAAAUACUUAAAAAGGUCAUUGCAUAACUCCAUAUCACUGGUGAAAAACAUUAAGCAGUAGCUUUGAGUGGAAACUCAUUCUUGGAACAAAACAAGAUAAAGACAUUUUAUUAACGUUUUCAAAACCAUAUCAUUAGAAAGAACCAACAGCAACCGACCUUAGCUCAGUUGGUAGAGCGGAGGACUGUAGUGGGGUGUAAACCUUUCAGAUAUCCUUAGGUCGCUGGUUCGAAUCCGGCAGGUCGGAUUUAUUCUUUUGCCAUCUUUUUUUUAUAUAUGUAAAGGACUUACCAUAUAAUAUACUCCUACUCUAGCAAGUGGUACAUGAAAAGAGUUUACUACCAUUUUCUUUGGUAAUAGCAGCUUAUAAAAUAUAUUUUUGUGUCAGUACUGUGAGAUUCCCUGUAAUCUCCAAUUUCUUAAUCCAGACAGAGGCUUAAGAUUUCAGUAAAAAAAACAAGACUCACAAUAACUGACUUCUCUAAAAACCAAUAUAACAAAACAAGCACUCAACAGUCACAAAUGUCUUGAUAUACCAACCGUAUAACAAAUUUCGAGAAUAUAUACUACACAUGAUAUUUGAGGAAGAGAAAAGGGGCACCAGGGCGGUGGAGGGGAGUGAGAGUUUAUAUAGACAAACAGACAGCAAGAACUUUAAACCAAUACUUAGGCAUGAAAAUGCAGAAAGAAUGCCUAGAGAACAAGUAGUGGUGCAAAUGGAAAAAUACAAGCGCAAAUAACAAGAAGGACACAAUGCACAUAGAUCAUGAUAAUUUAGCCUUGGUAGAUAAAGUCACCAAACAUCUUAUAACCAGCUUUAAAUGUUUCUUCCUCAACUUCAUAUAAGCAUUAGCAUGAGUUUCCCCUUCUUUUACCUUUUUUGACAAGUAAAAAAUGCUCAUGCAAUAGGCAUUCUUGAGAACACUGAUGGACAAUAUUCAGCAGUGCUUUGAGAGGGAAUUCAUUCUUGGAACAAAACAAGAUAGACAUUCUUUAAUGUUUACAAAACCAUAGCAUUGGAAAGAACCAACAACAACCGACCUUAGCUCAGUUGGUAGAGCGGAGGACUGUAGUGGGGUGUAAAACCUUUCAGAUAUCCUUAGGUCGCUGGUUCGAAUCCGGCAGGUCGGAUUGAUUCUUUUGCCAUGUUCUUUUUCUAUUUAUUUUUUUAAAUCAUUGUUUUAUUCUGGAGAAAAGAAGCUUGCCAUAUAAUGUACUCCCACUCUGACAACAGUAUUUAAUAUCAUUUCUUCAGCAAUAGCAACCUAUAUAAUUUUAUUGUUGUGACAGUAGUGUGAGAUUCCCUGCAAUCUCCAAUUUUAUAAUCCAGGCAGAAAACAAGCACUCAACUCUCACAAAUGUCUUGAAAUACCAAUCAUUUAUCAAAUUUCAAGAAUAUAUACAGACAUAUUAGAUUUGAUAAAGAUAGGGGAACCAGGGUGGUGGAGGGGAAGGAAAGAGUUAACAUAGACAAACAGACAACAGCUUGAAACCAAUACUAUGCAUGAAAAUGCACAAGGAAUACAUAGAGAUAAAGUAGUGGUGCAAAAGGAACAACACAAGAACAAAUAAUUGAAUGGAUGCAAUGCACAUAGUUCAUGGUAAUUUGCGCUUCUGUGGAGGAGAACUGGUCUUCUAUGCAGCAGAACUAGUUGAAGAAAUAAUGUACACUUUAGUCCAAAAGGUAGAUAAGUCACCAAAUAUCUAAUAAACAACUUCAAAGUUUCUUCCACAACUUCAUAUUCAUUAAAAAUGUAGACGGAAGACGAAAUUCAUUCUUGGGAUUCACAAAGUAAGAUCACCUUACUUAUAAUGUUAUCAAGACUCCAAGUCAAGGUAAGCAUUAGAAUGAGUUCCUCUUCUUUUACCUUUUCUUGAUAAGAAAAAAAAAAGUGAUCAUGCUCAAGCAACUGAUGGACAAUAUUCAGCAGAAAAUUCAUUCUUGGAACAAAACAAGAUAGACAUUCUUUAAUGUUUUCAAAACUAUAGCAUUGGAAAGAACCAACAACAACCGACCUUAGCUCAGUUGGUAGAGCGGAGGACUGUAG